RNAcentral lists this ribosomal RNA (464 nucleotides) under Vreelandella stevensii. RNAcentral's name for it is "partial 16S ribosomal RNA". It matches the Rfam family "Bacterial small subunit ribosomal RNA", at positions 338 to 795 of the family's 1533-position model. Lineage: Bacteria; Pseudomonadati; Pseudomonadota; Gammaproteobacteria; Oceanospirillales; Halomonadaceae. The record is from RNAcentral.
CCUACGGGGGGCAGCAGUGGGGAAUAUUGGACAAUGGGGGGAACCCUGAUCCAGCCAUGCCGCGUGUGUGAAGAAGGCCCUCGGGUUGUAAAGCACUUUCAGUGAGGAAGAACGCCUGGUGGUUAAUACCCAUCAGGAAAGACAUCACUCACAGAAGAAGCACCGGCUAACUCCGUGCCAGCAGCCGCGGUAAUACGGAGGGUGCGAGCGUUAAUCGGAAUUACUGGGCGUAAAGCGCGCGUAGGUGGCUUGAUAAGCCGGUUGUGAAAGCCCGGGCUCAACCUGGGAACGGCAUCCGGAACUGUCAAGCUAGAGUGCAGGAGAGGAAGGUAGAAUUCCCGGUGUAGCGGUGAAAUGCGUAGAGAUCGGGAGGAAUACCAGUGGCGAAGGCGGCCUUCUGGACUGACACUGACACUGAGGUGCGAAAGCGUGGGUAGCAAACAGGAUUAGAUACCCCAGUAGUC